RNAcentral lists this transfer RNA (70 nucleotides) under Camelus bactrianus (Bactrian camel). It matches the Rfam family "tRNA". From Rfam's summary of the family: Transfer RNA (tRNA) molecules are approximately 80 nucleotides in length. Their secondary structure includes four short double-helical elements and three loops (D, anti-codon, and T loops). Further hydrogen bonds mediate the characteristic L-shaped molecular structure. tRNAs have two regions of fundamental functional importance: the anti-codon, which is responsible for specific mRNA codon recognition, and the 3' end, to which the tRNAs corresponding amino acid is attached (by aminoacyl-tRNA synthetases). tRNAs cope with the degeneracy of the genetic code in two manners: having more than one tRNA (with a specific anti-codon) for a particular amino acid; and 'wobble' base-pairing, i.e. permitting non-standard base-pairing at the 3rd anti-codon position. RNAcentral also lists the same sequence under 3 other names. The record is from Rfam by way of RNAcentral. Lineage: Eukaryota; Metazoa; Chordata; Mammalia; Artiodactyla; Camelidae.
GGGUAUAGCUCAGUGGUACAGCACAUGGUUAGCAUGCAUGAAGUCCUGGGUUCAAUCCUCAGUACCUCCA